GGUUGAAGCGAUUCUCCUGUCUCAGCCUCCCAAUGUGUAUUUUCUUUAAGGGAAUGAAUCUCAUUCAUAAGGUCUCUACCCAUACAACCUAAUUACCUCCCAAAGGCCCCACCUUCUGAUACUGUCACAUUGGGGAACAUGUCUCCCUUUUGAAUUUUGGGGGGACACAAACAUUCAGUCUGUAAUCAUUUAAUGGCCUUAUGAGGUUACUUGUUCUUUCACCUAGACCUCAAGUCGCAUUUAACAGCUAAUCAAGUAUAUCUUUCUCUGAUUUGAUAGUGUGACCUAAAAGGGGACCGUAGUUUAAAAUGUCAUUAGAGUUGGCCUGCACUGCGCGCAGCGCCAGAGUGUGAGCCUGAGCCGCGCCGGGCCCCACGUGGGGCUCCUGGGCCUCAGCGGCAGACAGGCGAUGCUCCAGCGGCCUGGCCAGCCAUGGAGGCCGAGGCAAGCGGCCUGGAGGAGCUGACCGACGAGAAGAUGGCAACGAUGGGCAAGGAAGAGCGGCGGGAGGAGGCGACACGCCUGGCGGCACUGGUGCGUUGUGACCGCCUCCUGGAGGAGGUGAAUCGGCAGCUGCAGGGCCACCUGGAAGAGAUCUGUCAGCUCAGUCGGCGCCUGCUGGCAGAGAACCAUGAACUGCACUACCUCUGCUGCUUUGUGGACUGAAGCGCCAGCGCGGGCGGCUCACCAGCGGAAGCUCUUUGGGACCCAAGCAUCCCAGACCGUGUGGGAGGACCUGGGCAGUGUGGCAGAAUACCGCUUUUUAAAUGAUUUUUUAAAAAUGUCAGGAACGGCCUUUAUUGGCUGCAGCGUUGCUCACGAUCCGAAAGCGUAAAUGAUUUUUAAAAAUUAAUUAUUUAUUUUCAUAUUUCUUGAAGUUAGUUUUAACUGAUGUGUAUCUGUAUGUGUAUUUGUGUGUAUUCUGUCAUGAUUAUGCAGCAGAGAUGUAAAAGUGUGAAAGAGACAGUUUUCAGGAACGACAAGCAGCUAUGCCUACUUUCCAAGUUAUUUUGAGGCUGUGGUGGCUCACACCUAUAAUCUGAGUACUUUGGGAGGCUGAAGCCGACAGAUCACUUGAGCCCAGGAGUUCAAGACCAGCCUGGGCAAUAUAGCAAGGUCCAUCUCUAUAAACGAGUAAAAAAAUAAGCUGGAUGUGGUGGUAUAUUCCUAUAGUCCCAGCUACUUGGGAGGCUGAAGUGGGAGGAUCCCCUAAGCCCAGAGACGUUGAGGUUGUGGUAAGCUGUCAUCACACCACUGUACUUCAGCAUGAGAGACAGAGUGAGAACCUGUCUCAGAAUAAAUAAAUAAAUAAAACCACCAGUACCAUGAACAACAACAAAAAGUUAUUUUGCACUUGUUUUCAGCGUAGGACUCCUGAGGGUGUCUUUGCAUUUAAUAUUGCAUAGGGGUGCCAGUGGGAAGUAAUGUGUAUGCGUGGCCUCAUGAACUGAAAUUCAACAUCCCUUCGUGUUAAAAACUCUCAAUAAACUAGGUAUUGAGGAAAAUAUCUCAAAAUAAUAAGAACCGUUUAUGAUAAACUCACAGCUAAUGUUAUACUGAAUGGGCAAAAGCAGGAAGCAUUCCCCUUGAAAACUGGUACAAAACUAGGGUGCCCUGUCUGACUACUCCUAUUCAACAUUGUAUUGGAAGUUUUGGCCAGGGCAAUCAGGCAGGAGAAAGAAAUAAAAGAUAUUUGAAUAGGAAGCAAGGAAGUAAAACUGUCUAUUUGCUGAAAGCCCCAUUGUCCCAGGGUAGAGUGCAGUGGCAUGAUCUUGGCUCACUGCAACCUCC
Saimiri boliviensis boliviensis (Bolivian squirrel monkey) is the source of this 1791-nucleotide non-coding RNA. The record is from RefSeq and is a predicted model, not a curated record. Lineage: Eukaryota; Metazoa; Chordata; Mammalia; Primates; Cebidae.